UUCCAAUUAUAAAUAUUAUAAAAAUAGAUUUACGCGACGACUGUAAACAGAUAAGGGUAAAUAACGCAAACGGUAGCCAAUAAAAGGGUUGAGAACUCAUGGUUUUGGCAUAUAAUUGGGUUUUCCUUUGAAUUAAUUGGGUUAUUGAACCCUGCAAUGGGCAAUUGCAUUGGGUUUUUUAUUAUUUGUAUUGCGUGAUCACGCAAAUACGCAGCUUAUCUGGAGCUCUGA
Molecule: long non-coding RNA, 231 nt
Filed under: Mytilus galloprovincialis (Mediterranean mussel)
Lineage: Eukaryota; Metazoa; Mollusca; Bivalvia; Mytilida; Mytilidae
Source: RNAcentral